Long non-coding RNA from Mastomys coucha (southern multimammate mouse), 529 nucleotides. RefSeq lists it as uncharacterized. Lineage: Eukaryota; Metazoa; Chordata; Mammalia; Rodentia; Muridae. The transcript is spliced from 2 exons. The record is from RefSeq and is a predicted model, not a curated record.
UUCCUGGACUCUGCUGGGAUGGGUUCAAAGUAGAGAAAGUGCAAGAGGGAAGAGUUACCCAGGCUAGAGCGGACAGCGGGCCGCAGGUUUAGUCCUGGCUGUGGAGUGGGAUGCUGAGAUGAGUCUGGAGGAAUGCAGGAUGUUCUAGUCCCAGUUAGGAUGGUGGAUAAGGUCCUCGCUCCGACGAGGAAUGCUGAGCGGGGUCUGGAAUAAUGCAGAAUGUCCUGGUCCGGGGCAGGAAUGAUGGACAUCAGAUCCCUGUGAGGAUAUGAGAGGAUGUUUCCAGAAAGACCUAACUAAAAAGGAAAGUGCAAUCCUGAAUGUGGAGGACAUCCUCCUGUGGGCUGGGCUCCCAGGCUGAAUAAGAAGAAAAUGAGUUGAGCUCUCUCCCUCUUCCUCUCUCUGCUUCCCAACAGCAGACACAAAGUGAUCAGUUACCAGAUGACCCCCUGCUGCGGUGCCUUUUCCCCACCACUAUGAACAGUUCACCCUUAAGCUGUGAGCUAAAAUAAACCCUUCUUCCCUUUUG